This is a long non-coding RNA of Neofelis nebulosa (Clouded leopard), 500 nucleotides long. RefSeq lists it as uncharacterized. The record is from RefSeq and is a predicted model, not a curated record. NCBI's taxonomy places the organism in Eukaryota, Metazoa, Chordata, Mammalia, Carnivora, Felidae. The transcript is spliced from 3 exons.
AGAUCGUGGCCCUGCACAGAGGAUUUCUGAUCUUCGGGCUGCCCCCGUGUUUCCCGGCCAAAACGGAUAUGAGGACCCUGGCUUUCAGUAUCGGGCAAACACCGUGUUCUCUCACUUACCCAGGAUGCUUUCAUUACAAGGGCUUCCAAGUUCAGGUACAGAACAAUGUAAAAUGCAUAACUUCAGCUGCAGCCGUUAUUCCAGAGUUCUGAAGAGCAGCCAGCAGAAAUUGGUCAAGAAUCUAGCACAGUGUCUGGUGCACAAAAGACGCUUAGAACUGCUUGCAGGACCAGCUGAUUGACUGACUGAAUGAGUGAGCGGAUGGGUGCCUUCUGUGGUAGGCAGCUUUGUCUCCUGAGCUGCUGUCCCAGUAUCAUCAGUCUCCCAUUGCCAGGAAAUAAGGAGGUCUUGCUCACCAUAUGAUUUCAUCUACUCUAUUCUGCACCUCUCCAAAUCUCAUUGUCAGCUACCAACCACAGCCUAAUAAAAGAAGAUAAGCA